This 2632-nucleotide long non-coding RNA is filed under the name Gossypium barbadense (sea-island cotton). Its description in RNAcentral is "long non-coding RNA (GBAR_LNC001526)". The record is from RNAcentral. Lineage: Eukaryota; Viridiplantae; Streptophyta; Magnoliopsida; Malvales; Malvaceae.
UAAAAUAUAGGGUAUAAAAUAAAAUAAUCCUAGAAAAAUAAUUAAAAUGGCCUUAUCACAACCCAAAACCAAAUAACAAUAUUAAUAAGGUAAAACUUAUAAAGAAAUAAAUCGGCUACUUAUUGCAAUUAAAAGAAACAAAAACAGUAGUGUGGCCAUCUUCGAGUCCCUCGCAACUCCAAACCAUCUAAGCUUAGGGAUUACCUACACAGUUAGAAACAGGGUGAGUUUAUGAAAACUCAAUGUGUAAUCCCAAUAACAUACAAACAGUGAAAACACAGUAUCAGUACAAUCUGGGCCAAAGCCCUAUUUAGUCUUGACAUAUACUGGGCCGAAGCCUUUUGUUUAACGGUUACUGGGCCGAAGCCUUUUCAUAAAUUAUAUCAUUGGGCCAAAGCCUUUACUAUAAACGGUAUGGCCCUUAGGCCCAUUUCAAUAUCACAUGUAAUGUCAAUGGAUGUAUGCAAGCCCAUUUCAAUAUCACAUGAAAUACCAAUGAAUGUAUGCAAGCCCAUUUAGGGAGACUACUCGACCCACCAUCCGCUACUCUCCACCCGUACCAACCAACACACCAUGUGGGGAAUGAUUCAACCCACCCAACCAACACACCACUGGCAGCAUAGCUGCUUUAUCAUAUAUCUGGAGGCCUAGCCUCUUUUAAUAACUGGGGCAAAGCCCUUUUCGGUAAACUGGGGCAAAGCCCUUUUCAAUAAACUGGGGCAUAAGCCCUUUUCGGUAAACUGGGCAUAAGCCUUUUCAAUAAACUGGGGCAUAAGCCCUUUUGCACUUCCUCCAUCCAUAUAAAAACCAACCCAAUGCAUUUAUGAAUACAUCAUGUGGAUUUCAUACAUAUCAUGUGCAUUUCAUACAUAUCAUGUGCAUUUCAUACAUAUCAUGUGCAUUUUAUACAUAUCAUGUGCAUAUCAUAUCAAUCAUGUAUAUCAUAUCCCGCGUAUCAAAUUUAUAAUUAAACCCUAGGGGUAUAAUGGUCAUUUUUACCUAGGGGCAAAACAUUCAUUUUCAUACUGUAAGGGUAAUUUCAUAAUUUUACCAAAUAUCAGGGUUUUCCAUGUUCAUCAACAAUUAUCAAUAUUUCCGAGUGUUUAAACAAUGAUCUUUAACCCAUUUUAUCAAACUCGGGCUUUUGGGCCCAAAACCCCUAAUGGGCCCUACGAAUGCUGAUUUAGCCCACUAAGCCUGUUUAAUCCAAAUUUUACAACAGUACUAACCGUGUUAACAUGCAACUUUUCCAGAUUCCAUUUUCUAACAAUUUUACCCAAAUGGGCCCGAAAGCCCAUUGGGCCCAAUUCUAGCCCAUUGAGGCCCAAUUUACCAUCGUGCACAAAAUUGUGCUCUUACCUGUUCCAUCGAUCCAACCACUGAUCAUAUCGUAUCUAUCACACUUUAAGCAAAGGAAAAAUCACAAGUUCCCGAAAUACUAGUAUUUUAGCAUUUCGGCUUCUCAGCAAAUAUUAAUCUAAGCUAUUACGAGGGUUAGUACACACCUAUUACGGGUUGAAGUUGAAACGUUUCCAAAAUCAAUCGCCUACGAUAACCACCACCUGUCACUCAAACUUAACUAAUCCAAUAUCAAUAUAUGUAAAUCCUAAGCACAUCAGUCAUACGAAACAUAAGGGCAUAUUCGUCAUUUUACCAUACAGGGGUAUUACGGUCACUUUAACCUACAGGGGCUUUACGGUCACUUUACCCUACAGGGGCUUUACGGUCUUUUUACCUAAUAGGGGUAUUUUAAUCAUUUCAUCCUACAAGGGUGUUUUGGUAAAUCUACAAACUAAGGGUAUUUCAGUAAUUUUGUAAACCAAUGGUAUUUCCAUAAUUUUUAGAAAGUCAAGGGUAUUUCUGUAACUUUGUAAAUCAGGGGUAUUUUGGUAAUUUUACAAAUUGAGGGUAUUUCGAUAAUUUCACAAACUAGUGGUAUUUUGGUAAUUUUACAAACUAGGGGUAUUUUGGUAAUUUUACAAAUUGAGGGUAUUUCGAUAAUUUUACAAACCAGGGGUAUUUUAGCAAUUUUACAAACUAGGGUAUUUUGGUAAUUUUACUGAUCGAGGGUAUUUUGGAAAUUUUGUAAACCAAGGGUAUUUUAGUAAUUUUAUAAAUCGAGGGUAAAACAGUAAUUUUUUAAGUCAAGGGUAAAACAGUAAUUUUGUAAAUCGAGGGUAAAACGGUAAUUCUAUAAAUCGAGAAUAAAACGGUAAUUCUAUAAAUCGAGGGUACUUUGGUAAUUUUACAAUUUGAGGGCAUUUCAGUAAUUUGGUAAACUAAAGUAUUCUAAACAUGGAUAACAAUACGAAUGGGCCUAAAGCCUAUUCUCGGCCCAAAUGGGCCCACACGCUCGUGUGGCCCUUUUAGCCCAAAUCUAGCCACAGAUAUGAGAUUCACCUAGCCUAGUCUAAUAUUUACUACACAAUCAAACAACUUAUCCAAUUGGGCCCGUAGGCCCAUUAGGCCCACAUGACCCCUUUUUCGGCCCAUCGCGGCCCGAAGUAGCCAUCCUACAGCUAGAGUAGUGAGAAAAUACACACCUGAUAGGAGACUGGAGUUAAUCCAUGCUCCGAACACUCUUAGCCGACGCCCAACCCAAAUGAGCACGCCAUACAGCGAAAGGGAUCAG